Molecule: ribosomal RNA, 251 nt
Filed under: uncultured bacterium
Lineage: Bacteria
Description: partial 16S ribosomal RNA
Rfam family: Bacterial small subunit ribosomal RNA
Source: RNAcentral
ACGUAGGGGGCAAGCGUUAUCCGGAUUUACUGGGUGUAAAGGGAGCGUAGACGGCAAGGCAAGUCUGAUGUGAAAGGCUGGGGCUCAACCCCGGGACUGCAUUGGAAACUGUCCUGCUGGAGUGCCGGAGAGGUAAGCGGAAUUCCUAGUGUAGCGGUGAAAUGCGUAGAUAUUAGGAGGAACACCAGUGGCGAAGGCGGCUUACUGGACGGUAACUGACGUUGAGGCUCGAAAGCGUGGGGAGCAAACAG